RNAcentral lists this ribosomal RNA (253 nucleotides) under uncultured bacterium. RNAcentral's name for it is "partial 16S ribosomal RNA". It matches the Rfam family "Bacterial small subunit ribosomal RNA", at positions 524 to 776 of the family's 1533-position model. The record is from RNAcentral.
UACGGAGGGGGCAAGCGUUGUUCGGAAUUACUGGGCGUAAAGGGCGCGCAGGCGGCUGCUCAAGUCAGGCGUGAAAGGCCUGGGCUCAACCCGGGAACUGCGUCCGAUACUGGCAGGCUUGAAUCCGGGAGAGGGAUGUGGAAUUCCAGGUGUAGCGGUGAAAUGCGUAGAUAUCUGGAGGAACACCGGUGGCGAAGGCGGCAUCCUGGACCGGUAUUGACGCUGAUGCGCGAAAGCCAGGGGAGCAAACGGG